GUCUCUCUCUGUCCCCCCAGUGCUUGUGAUUGUACUGGGAGUUGUGCUUUUACUGCUCUUAGUGCCACUGCUUAUAUUGAUUCAGCGAAAGAGAGUGAUGAGGAGAGCUCUCUCUGACUGGUACACAGAACUACACAGGACACACACUGAGGCCAUUUAUCACGAGAUUCAUCACAGACAACAUUACUUCACUCAGCAGGAGGGAGAUCAGGAGGAGUAUGAUGAUGUGAAGAACAGCAAUGAAGAUGGGAAAAACCUAGAUUAUGAUGAUGUGGGGGAGGAGUCAAAUAAAGAGGGAGGGGCCAUAUGACUCACCCACUAUCUCUGUUCAUGAAAUCAUAUUAGUUACUGGAGCUAUUGGGACUUUCUCAUAUUGCUACUAAUGCAUCAGUGCCUUUGUAUGUUAUUUCAUUUUUUUUUUAAUACAAAUUUUCAUGCUUUGCAAAAUUUG
Long non-coding RNA from Sinocyclocheilus grahami, 451 nucleotides. RefSeq lists it as uncharacterized. The transcript has 4 exons. The record is from RefSeq and is a predicted model, not a curated record. NCBI's taxonomy places the organism in Eukaryota, Metazoa, Chordata, Actinopteri, Cypriniformes, Cyprinidae.